RNAcentral lists this ribosomal RNA (340 nucleotides) under uncultured bacterium. Its description in RNAcentral is "partial 16S ribosomal RNA". It matches the Rfam family "Bacterial small subunit ribosomal RNA", at positions 523 to 861 of the family's 1533-position model. The record is from RNAcentral.
AUACGUAGGUGACAAGCGUUAUCCGGAUUUACUGGGUGUAAAGGGCGUGUAGGCGGUUUAGCAAGUCAGAAGUGAAAUUCCCGGGCUUAACUUGGGCGCUGCUUCUGAAACUGCUUUACUUGAGUGCUGGAGAGGAUAGUGGAAUUCCUAGUGUAGCGGUAAAAUGCGCAGAUAUUAGGAGGAACACCGGUGGCGAAGGCGGCUAUCUGGACAGUAACUGACGCUGAGGCGCGAAAGCACGGGGAGCAAACAGGAUUAGAUACCCUGGUAGUCCGUGCCGUAAACGAUGAAUACUAGGUGUAGGGGGUAUCGACUCCCUCUGUGCCGCAGUUAACACAUU